This 71-nucleotide transfer RNA is filed under the name Salmo trutta (river trout). Its description in RNAcentral is "tRNA-Ser". It matches the Rfam family "tRNA". Rfam says of the family: Transfer RNA (tRNA) molecules are approximately 80 nucleotides in length. Their secondary structure includes four short double-helical elements and three loops (D, anti-codon, and T loops). Lineage: Eukaryota; Metazoa; Chordata; Actinopteri; Salmoniformes; Salmonidae. The record is from RNAcentral.
AAGAAAGUGGCAGAGUGGUUAUGCGGUUGGCUUGAAACCAGCACAUGGGGGUUCAAUUCCUCCUUUUCUCG